CCGGUGUAGGCGGCAGACGCUGGACGUUCACUUUUUAAGCAAGGAGUUCUGUAGAAUUUCUUCUCAUUAUUAUGGGCAAGGUGUAGAACUUGAAUUCUCAGCAAGAAGAGCUUGUUUUGAAUCUGAUACAACUAUACUGUCACUCAACUCGCGUCCGCUGGUUUCAAAUGGGAAAAGCAGAAUGCAGGUUACUGUAACAGCAAUUACAACCUCAAAUAGAAUAAUAGCUUCCUUGAGAUGGCAACUGCUUGUCAAAGCAACUGCUACAAGAGGACACACU
This 280-nucleotide unclassified non-coding RNA is filed under the name Hevea brasiliensis (rubber tree). Lineage: Eukaryota; Viridiplantae; Streptophyta; Magnoliopsida; Malpighiales; Euphorbiaceae. The record is from RNAcentral.